AGCUCCAAUAGCGUAUAUUAAAGUUGUUGCGGUUAAAAGCUCGUAGUUGGGUUUCUGUGGAGGGCGGCCGGUCCGCACUACGUGCGUGUAUCUGGUUUGGCCUCUGCAUCCUCUUGGGGAACGCUGCUGCGCUUCACUGCGUGGCACGGUAUUCAAGACUUUUACUUUGAGGAAAUUAGAGUGUUCACGGCAGGCAAUCGCCCUGAAUACAUUAGCAUGGAAUAAUAAUAUAGGAUCUCGAUUCUAUUUUGUUGGUUUCUAGAAACGAGAUAAUGAUUAAUAGGGAUAAUUGGGGGCAUUCGUAUUAUCACGUCAGAGGUGGAAUUCUUGGAUUGUGUUACGACGAACUACUGCGAAAGCAUUUGCCAAGGAUGUUUUCA
RNAcentral lists this ribosomal RNA (380 nucleotides) under uncultured eukaryote. RNAcentral's name for it is "SSU rRNA". It matches the Rfam family "Eukaryotic small subunit ribosomal RNA", at positions 587 to 972 of the family's 1831-position model. The record is from RNAcentral.